GGAGCGGUGACCGAGUGGCCGAAGGUGCUCCCCUGCUAAGGGAGUAUGGGGUGUAGAGCCUCAUCGAGGGUUCGAAUCCCUCCCGCUCCGCCA
RNAcentral lists this transfer RNA (93 nucleotides) under Malikia spinosa. RNAcentral describes it as "tRNA-Ser". It matches the Rfam family "tRNA". From Rfam's summary of the family: Transfer RNA (tRNA) molecules are approximately 80 nucleotides in length. Their secondary structure includes four short double-helical elements and three loops (D, anti-codon, and T loops). Further hydrogen bonds mediate the characteristic L-shaped molecular structure. tRNAs have two regions of fundamental functional importance: the anti-codon, which is responsible for specific mRNA codon recognition, and the 3' end, to which the tRNAs corresponding amino acid is attached (by aminoacyl-tRNA synthetases). tRNAs cope with the degeneracy of the genetic code in two manners: having more than one tRNA (with a specific anti-codon) for a particular amino acid; and 'wobble' base-pairing, i.e. permitting non-standard base-pairing at the 3rd anti-codon position. The record is from RNAcentral. Lineage: Bacteria; Pseudomonadati; Pseudomonadota; Betaproteobacteria; Burkholderiales; Comamonadaceae. RNAcentral also lists the same sequence under 4 other names.